RNAcentral lists this ribosomal RNA (488 nucleotides) under uncultured bacterium. RNAcentral's name for it is "bacterial SSU rRNA". It matches the Rfam family "Bacterial small subunit ribosomal RNA", at positions 8 to 518 of the family's 1533-position model. The record is from RNAcentral.
AGAGUUGAUCAUGGCUCAGGACGAACGCUGGCGGCAUGCCUAACACAUGCAAGUCGAACGGGGGUAGCAAUACCCUAGUGGCGAACGGGUGAGUAACACAUAAGCAAUCUGCCCUUCACAGGGGGAUAACAGCGGGAAACUGCUGCUAAUACCGCAUAAGACCACGGUACCGCAUGGUACAGGGGUAAAAACGAAUCAGUGGUGAAGGAUGAGCUUAUGUCCCAUUAGCUAGUUGGUGAGAUAACAGCCCACCAAGGCGACGAUGGGUAGCCGACCUGAGAGGGUGAUCGGCCACACUGGAACUGAGACACGGUCCAGACUCCUACGGGAGGCAGCAGUGGGGAAUAUUGGGCAAUGGAAGGAAACUCUUACCCAGCAAUGCCGCGUGAGUGAAGAAGGUCUUCGGAUUGUAAAGCUCUUUGAUUGGGGACGAAGAAAGUGACGGUACCCAAAGAACAAGCCCCGGCUAACUACGUGCCAGCCGCCGC